CUGCUUACCUGGCAGAGGACAGACCAUGAUCACAAAGGCGGUUUUCCCAGGGUGAGGCUUCUCCAUUGUACUCUGGAUGUGCUGAUCCCUGCAAUUUCCCCAAAUGUGGGGAACUUGACUGCGUAAUUUGUGGUCAUGGGGAACUGCAUUUGCACUCUCCCCUG
Molecule: non-coding RNA, 164 nt
Organism: Macaca mulatta (Rhesus monkey)
Lineage: Eukaryota; Metazoa; Chordata; Mammalia; Primates; Cercopithecidae
Source: Rfam